UAUUAAAAAUUCCAUCCAUUUCUACUGUUAAAAACUAAUGUGACUAAUAGAAUAAUUAGACAGCUACACAUGGCGUGCCAUGUGUGCCUUAUUUUGGUUUAUAGGGACCAGUUUUUAAAAGUAGGAAUUGAUGAUUUUUUUAACA
Molecule: non-coding RNA, 145 nt
Organism: Gossypium arboreum
Lineage: Eukaryota; Viridiplantae; Streptophyta; Magnoliopsida; Malvales; Malvaceae
Source: Rfam